RNAcentral lists this ribosomal RNA (253 nucleotides) under uncultured bacterium. RNAcentral's name for it is "partial 16S ribosomal RNA". It matches the Rfam family "Bacterial small subunit ribosomal RNA", at positions 524 to 776 of the family's 1533-position model. The record is from RNAcentral.
UACGUAGGGGGCAAGCGUUGUCCGGAUUUAUUGGGCGUAAAGAGCGUGUAGGCGGUUUGGUAGGUCCGCUGUGAAAACUCGAGGCUCAACCUCGAGACGCCGGUGGAAACCAUCAGACUAGAGUCCGGAAGAGGAGAGUGGAAUUCCUGGUGUAGCGGUGAAAUUCGUAGAUAUUGGGAAGAACACCGGUGGCGAAGGCGGCUCUCUGGACCGUAACUGACGCUGAGGCGCGAAAGCGUGGGGAGCAAACAGG